AUUGAACGCUGGCGGCAGGCCUAACACAUGCAAGUCGAACGGUAACAGGAAGAAUCUUUCUUCUUUGCUGACGAGUGGCGGACGGGUGAAUAAUGUGUGGGCAACUGCCUGAUGGAGGGUGAUAACUACUGGAAACGGUAGCUAAUACCGCAUAACGUCGCAAGACCAAAGAGGGGGACCUUCGUGCCUCUUGCCAUCGGAUGUGCCCAGAUGGGAUUAGCUAGUAGGUGGGGUAACGGCUCACCUAGGCGACGAUCCGUAGCUGGUCUGAGAGGAUGAGGGGCCACACUGGAACUGAGACACGGUCCAGACUCCUACGGGAGGCAGCAGUGGGGAAUAUUGCACAAUGGGCGCAAGCCUGAUGCAGCCAUGCCGCGUGUAUGAAGAAGGCCUUCGGGUUGUAAAGUACUUUCAGCGGGGAGGAAGGGAGUAAAGUUAAUACCUUUGCUCAUUGACGGUACCCGCAGAAGAAGCACCGGCUAUCUCCGUG
RNAcentral lists this ribosomal RNA (490 nucleotides) under uncultured bacterium. RNAcentral's name for it is "partial 16S ribosomal RNA". It matches the Rfam family "Bacterial small subunit ribosomal RNA", at positions 30 to 507 of the family's 1533-position model. The record is from RNAcentral.